RNAcentral lists this non-coding RNA (27 nucleotides) under Cricetulus griseus (Chinese hamster). The record is from RNAcentral. Lineage: Eukaryota; Metazoa; Chordata; Mammalia; Rodentia; Cricetidae.
CAAGGACCUUCUAGACUUGCAUAAGAG